CGACCGGCGCACGGUGCGUAACGCGUAUGCAACCUACCUUAACAGGGGAUAACACUGAGAAAUUGGUACUAAUACCCCAUAAUAUCAUAGAAGGCAUCUUUUAUGGUUGAAAAUUCCGAUGGUUAGAGAUGGGCAUGCGUUGUAUUAGCUAGUUGGUGGGGUAACGGCUCACCAAGGCGACGAUACAUAGGGGGACUGAGAGGUUAACCCCCCACACUGGUACUGAGACACGGACCAG
RNAcentral lists this ribosomal RNA (238 nucleotides) under uncultured bacterium. RNAcentral's name for it is "partial 16S ribosomal RNA". It matches the Rfam family "Bacterial small subunit ribosomal RNA", at positions 92 to 334 of the family's 1533-position model. The record is from RNAcentral.